Molecule: ribosomal RNA, 2631 nt
Filed under: Triticum aestivum (bread wheat)
Lineage: Eukaryota; Viridiplantae; Streptophyta; Magnoliopsida; Poales; Poaceae
Description: partial small subunit ribosomal RNA
Source: RNAcentral
AUGGCCGACGACGGCAAGCCCCGCGACCAGACCCUCCAGGAGCUCGACGCGCUCAGCCACACGCUCUACCAGGCGCACAGCAACCGCCGCCACGCGUCGCUCGCCCUCCCGCGCGGUGUCGUCGGCGAGGAUGUCUUAGCGGCGGAGGCGCUCAGGGCAGAGGCCGCGCGCCCGCGUACCCGCCGCAUGUCCAUGACCUCGCCGUUCCGGUCGAGGGGAAAGGCGGGGAAGAAGGAGGAUGACGACGAGGACGACGACCGCGGCGUUCUGAGCGCCGCGGCGCCGUCCAAGAGCCGGAGCUUCGCCGCCGCGGCCUCCCCGGCGCUGGGCGGCGGGGAGAAGAAGAAGGGGUUAUGGGGCUGGAAGCCGAUGCGCGCGCUGUCGCACAUCGGCAUGACCCGCCUCGGCUGUCUCUUCUCCGUCGAGGUGGCGGUGGCGCAGGGCCUGCCGUCGUCCAUGGACGGGCUCCGCCUCGCCGUGGCCGUACGCAAGAAGGAGUCGCGCGAGGGCGCCGUGCAGACGAUGCCGUCCCGUGUGCAGCAGGGGGCGGCGGACUUCGAGGAGACGCUCUUCGUCCGUUGCCACGUCUACUGCAGCGGCGGGGGCGCCGGCAAGCCUCCGGCGAAGUUCGAACCCCGUCCGUUCCUCCUGUCCGUGGUCGCCGUGGACGCGCCGGAGCUGGACCUUGGCCAGAGCACGGUGGACGUGAGCGCCCUCGUCAAGGAGUCCACGGAGAAGAGCCAGCAAGGGGAGCGCGUCCGGCAGUGGCAGAUGGCGUUCCCGCUCGCCGGCAAGGCCAAAGGCGGCGAGCUCGUCGUGACGCUCGCGUUCCAGAUCAUGGAGGACGGCGGCGUCGGGCUGUACAGCCAGCCGGCCACCAAGACUGCUGCCUCCUCCUCUACCUCGUCGGCGUUGUUCGCACGGAAGCAGAGCAAGACGUCGUUUAGCAUCACGAGCCCCAAGGUCACGCGAUCGGAGCCGUCAUUUACGCCGGCGAAGGGCACGCCUGCGCAGGACUUGAGUGGCAUCGACGACUUCAAGCUCGACGGACCUAGUGCUCCGGUGCCCGAGCCCAAGCAGGAUCAGAAGAGAGAGCCGGAGCCGGAGCCGGAGGCGAAAGUGGAUGACUCGGAGUUCCCGGAGUUCGACUUCGAUGUCGUCGACAAAGGCGUGGAGGGGCAAGAAGAGAAGGACGAAGCGAACGCCGACAGCAAGAAAGAAGACAAGGAUAAGGAGGAGGAGGAGGAGGGCACAACGCCGGCGGCCGGCGAUGAGGUGGUCAAGGAGGUCGUGCACGACAGCGCGAGCAUGUGGCGCCUCAACGAGCUGGAGGCGAUCACCAACCAGAUCAAGGCGCUAGAGUCACUGAUGCUCGGCGACACGCCGGAAGAGGAUGCCGACAAGCCGGCAGAGCCGCAGGAGGACGAGGCAGCGGUGGAGGGGCUGGAGGCCGACGAGGAGGAGGUCACCAGAGAGUUCCUGCAGCUGCUGGAGCAGGGAGAGGACAAUGGCAAGUCAGCGGCCGCUCCUCAGGUGUCAUCGCUCAAGUCCAGCGCGAAGCCGGGCACCGGCGCCGACGAGGCUUGCUACAUCUCCGACCUCGGCAAGGGGCUUGGCCCCAUCGUGCAGACCCGGGACGGCGGCUACCUGGCCGCAACGAACCCGUUUGACAUCCCGGUUGUUAGAAAGGAGCUUCCCAAGCUCGCCAUGCAACUGUCCAAGCCGUUCAUCCUCCGCGGCCAGAAGCUCCCCGGCGGCGGCGCGGAGGUGUUCCAGCGGCUGUGCGCCGGCGGAUGCGAGGCCCUGUGCGCGAAGCUGGGUGCACUCACCGCGACCGACGAGGUAGUCGGCAAGACGGCAGAGCAGAUCGCCUUCGAGGGCAUGGCGUCGGCGAUCAUCAGCGCGCGGAGCAAGGAGCUCGGCGCGAGCUCCAGCGCGGCCGAGUCCGUCUCUCUGCUCCGGACAAUGUCGGCGGCGAUGAGCGACGGGCGCAAGGAGAGGAUCGCCACCGGCAUCUGGAACGCCCAUGAGGCGCCGGUGACCGUGGACGAGAUCCUGCCGUUCUCGCUGCAAAAGAUAGAGACGAUGGCCAUCGAAGCGCUCAAGGUGCAGGCCGGCACCGCCGAAGAGCAGGCUCCCUUCGACGUGUCCCCGGUCACCGACGCGGCGGACGGCGGGCACCCCCUGGACGCCGCCGUGCCGCCGGAGGAGUGGGCGAGCGCGUGCGCCGGCGCGGACGCGGCGACCAUGCUGGUGGUGGCGCAGCUGAGGGACCCCAUGCGCCGGUACGAGGCGGUCGGCGCGCCGUCCAUCGUGGUAAUCCAGGCGGGACGGGCCGCCACCGGCGCCGAUGGCGAGACCAGGUUCAAGGUGGCCAACAUGCACGUCGGGGGCAUGCGGCUGAAGACGGCCGACCGGCGUAGCGUGUGGGACGGCGAGAGGCAGAGGCUGACGGCGACGCACUGGCUCGUCGCCUACGGGCUCGGCAAGGCCGGCAAGAAGGGACGGCCGUCGGGGGCCGCAGCGGGGAAGGUCGGGACCGACGUGCUCUGGAGCAUGUCGUCGAGGGUGGUCGCCGACAUGUGGCUCAAGCCGAUGCGCAACCCGGACGUGAAGAUCGCAGCCAACUAG